GACUACAGGGGUAUCUAAUCCCGUUCGCUCCCCUAGCUUUCGCACCUCAGCGUCAGGAUAUGACCAGGAAGCCGCCUUCGCCACGGGUGUUCCUCCAGAUAUCUACGCAUUUCACCGCUACACCUGGAAUUCCACUUCCCUCUCCAUACCUCAAGAUCCCCAGUUUCAAAGGCAGUUCCGAGGUUGAGCCUCGGCAUUUCACCUCUGACUUAAAGAUCCGCCUACGCGCGCUUUACGCCCAGUGAAUUCGGACAACGCUCGCCCCCUACGUAUUACCGCGGCUGCUGGCACGUAGUUAGCCGGGGCUUAUUCUUGGGGUACCGUCACAUCCUUCUUCCCCCAAAAAAGACCUUUACAUCCCGAAAGACUUCAUCAGUCACGCGACGUCGCUGCGUCAGGCUUUCGCCCAUUGCGCAAGAUUCCUCACUGCUGCCCCCCGUAGG
Molecule: ribosomal RNA, 443 nt
Filed under: uncultured Armatimonadota bacterium
Lineage: Bacteria; Bacillati; Armatimonadota
Description: uncultured Armatimonadetes bacterium partial 16S ribosomal RNA
Source: RNAcentral